This is a non-coding RNA of Ruminococcus callidus ATCC 27760, 74 nucleotides long. The record is from Rfam. Lineage: Bacteria; Bacillati; Bacillota; Clostridia; Eubacteriales; Oscillospiraceae.
GGGCGCAUAGCUCAGGUGGUUAGAGCGCACGCCUGAUAAGCGUGAGGUCGAUGGUUCGAGUCCAUUUGUGCCCA